Molecule: ribosomal RNA, 468 nt
Filed under: uncultured bacterium
Lineage: Bacteria
Description: partial 16S ribosomal RNA
Rfam family: Bacterial small subunit ribosomal RNA
Source: RNAcentral
GGUGAACGCUGGCGGCGUGCCUAACACAUGCAAGUCGAGCGAUUCUCUUCGGAGAAGAGCGGCGGACGGGUGAGUAACGCGUGGGUAACCUGCCCUGUACACACGGAUAACAUACCGAAAGGUAUGCUAAUACGAGAUAAUAUGCUUUUAUCGCAUGGUAGAAGUAUCAAAGCUCCGGCGGUACAGGAUGGACCCGCGGCUGAUUAGCUAGUUGGUAAGGUAACGGCUUACCAAGGCGACGAUCAGUAGCCGACCUGAGAGGGUGAUCGGCCACAUUGGAACUGAGACACGGUCCAAACUCCUACGGGAGGCAGCAGUGGGGAAUAUUGCACAAUGGGCGAAAGCCUGAUGCAGCAACGCCGCGUGAGCGAUGAAGGCCUUUGGGUCGUAAAGCUCUGUCCUCAAGGAAGAUAAUGACGGUACUUGAGGAGGAAGCCCCGGCUAACUACGUGCCAGCCGCCGCCGUAA